This 370-nucleotide ribosomal RNA is filed under the name uncultured Sphingobacteriales bacterium. Its description in RNAcentral is "bacterial SSU rRNA". It matches the Rfam family "Bacterial small subunit ribosomal RNA", at positions 1009 to 1382 of the family's 1533-position model. Lineage: Bacteria; Pseudomonadati; Bacteroidota; Sphingobacteriia; Sphingobacteriales. The record is from RNAcentral.
UUACAUCUCUUCGGAGCAUUUUACGAGGUGCUGCAUGGUUGCCGUCAGCUCGUGCCGUGAGGUGUCGGGUUAAGUCCCAUAACGAGCGCAACCCUACCUUAGUUGCCAUCAGGUUAAGCUGGGACUCUAAAGGAACUGCCUACGCAAGUAGUGAGGAAGGCGGGGAUGACGUCAAAUCAGCACGGCCCUUACGUCCAGGGCUACACACGUGCUACAAUGGCCGAUACAGAGGGCAGCUACCUGGUGACAGGAUGCAAAUCUCCAAAAGUCGGUCUCAGUUCGGAUCGGAGUCUGCAACCCGACUCCGUGAAGUUGGAUUCGCUAGUAAUCGCGCAUCAGCCAUGGCGCGGUGAAUACGUUCCCGGGCCUU